This 2906-nucleotide ribosomal RNA is filed under the name Escherichia coli W. RNAcentral's name for it is "bacterial LSU rRNA". It matches the Rfam family "Bacterial large subunit ribosomal RNA". The record is from RNAcentral. Lineage: Bacteria; Pseudomonadati; Pseudomonadota; Gammaproteobacteria; Enterobacterales; Enterobacteriaceae.
GGUUAAGCGACUAAGCGUACACGGUGGAUGCCCUGGCAGUCAGAGGCGAUGAAGGACGUGCUAAUCUGCGAUAAGCGUCGGUAAGGUGAUAUGAACCGUUAUAACCGGCGAUUUCCGAAUGGGGAAACCCAGUGUGAUUCGUCACACUAUCAUUAACUGAAUCCAUAGGUUAAUGAGGCGAACCGGGGGAACUGAAACAUCUAAGUACCCCGAGGAAAAGAAAUCAACCGAGAUUCCCCCAGUAGCGGCGAGCGAACGGGGAGCAGCCCAGAGCCUGAAUCAGUGUGUGUGUUAGUGGAAGCGUCUGGAAAGGCGCGCGAUACAGGGUGACAGCCCCGUACACAAAAAUGCACAUACUGUGAGCUCGAUGAGUAGGGCGGGACACGUGGUAUCCUGUCUGAAUAUGGGGGGACCAUCCUCCAAGGCUAAAUACUCCUGACUGACCGAUAGUGAACCAGUACCGUGAGGGAAAGGCGAAAAGAACCCCGGCGAGGGGAGUGAAAAAGAACCUGAAACCGUGUACGUACAAGCAGUGGGAGCACGCUUAGGCGUGUGACUGCGUACCUUUUGUAUAAUGGGUCAGCGACUUAUAUUCUGUAGCAAGGUUAACCGAAUAGGGGAGCCGAAGGGAAACCGAGUCUUAACUGGGCGUUAAGUUGCAGGGUAUAGACCCGAAACCCGGUGAUCUAGCCAUGGGCAGGUUGAAGGUUGGGUAACACUAACUGGAGGACCGAACCGACUAAUGUUGAAAAAUUAGCGGAUGACUUGUGGCUGGGGGUGAAAGGCCAAUCAAACCGGGAGAUAGCUGGUUCUCCCCGAAAGCUAUUUAGGUAGCGCCUCGUGAAUUCAUCUCCGGGGGUAGAGCACUGUUUCGGCAAGGGGGUCAUCCCGACUUACCAACCCGAUGCAAACUGCGAAUACCGGAGAAUGUUAUCACGGGAGACACACGGCGGGUGCUAACGUCCGUCGUGAAGAGGGAAACAACCCAGACCGCCAGCUAAGGUCCCAAAGUCAUGGUUAAGUGGGAAACGAUGUGGGAAGGCCCAGACAGCCAGGAUGUUGGCUUAGAAGCAGCCAUCAUUUAAAGAAAGCGUAAUAGCUCACUGGUCGAGUCGGCCUGCGCGGAAGAUGUAACGGGGCUAAACCAUGCACCGAAGCUGCGGCAGCGACGCUGAUGCGUUGUUGGGUAGGGGAGCGUUCUGUAAGCCUGCGAAGGUGUGCUGUGAGGCAUGCUGGAGGUAUCAGAAGUGCGAAUGCUGACAUAAGUAACGAUAAAGCGGGUGAAAAGCCCGCUCGCCGGAAGACCAAGGGUUCCUGUCCAACGUUAAUCGGGGCAGGGUGAGUCGACCCCUAAGGCGAGGCCGAAAGGCGUAGUCGAUGGGAAACAGGUUAAUAUUCCUGUACUUGGUGUUACUGCGAAGGGGGGACGGAGAAGGCUAUGUUGGCCGGGCGACGGUUGUCCCGGUUUAAGCGUGUAGGCUGGUUUUCCAGGCAAAUCCGGAAAAUCAAGGCUGAGGCGUGAUGACGAGGCACUACGGUGCUGAAGCAACAAAUGCCCUGCUUCCAGGAAAAGCCUCUAAGCAUCAGGUAACAUCAAAUCGUACCCCAAACCGACACAGGUGGUCAGGUAGAGAAUACCAAGGCGCUUGAGAGAACUCGGGUGAAGGAACUAGGCAAAAUGGUGCCGUAACUUCGGGAGAAGGCACGCUGAUAUGUAGGUGAAGUCCCUCGCGGAUGGAGCUGAAAUCAGUCGAAGAUACCAGCUGGCUGCAACUGUUUAUUAAAAACACAGCACUGUGCAAACACGAAAGUGGACGUAUACGGUGUGACGCCUGCCCGGUGCCGGAAGGUUAAUUGAUGGGGUCAGCGCAAGCGAAGCUCUUGAUCGAAGCCCCGGUAAACGGCGGCCGUAACUAUAACGGUCCUAAGGUAGCGAAAUUCCUUGUCGGGUAAGUUCCGACCUGCACGAAUGGCGUAAUGAUGGCCAGGCUGUCUCCACCCGAGACUCAGUGAAAUUGAACUCGCUGUGAAGAUGCAGUGUACCCGCGGCAAGACGGAAAGACCCCGUGAACCUUUACUAUAGCUUGACACUGAACAUUGAGCCUUGAUGUGUAGGAUAGGUGGGAGGCUUUGAAGUGUGGACGCCAGUCUGCAUGGAGCCGACCUUGAAAUACCACCCUUUAAUGUUUGAUGUUCUAACGUUGACCCGUAAUCCGGGUUGCGGACAGUGUCUGGUGGGUAGUUUGACUGGGGCGGUCUCCUCCUAAAGAGUAACGGAGGAGCACGAAGGUUGGCUAAUCCUGGUCGGACAUCAGGAGGUUAGUGCAAUGGCAUAAGCCAGCUUGACUGCGAGCGUGACGGCGCGAGCAGGUGCGAAAGCAGGUCAUAGUGAUCCGGUGGUUCUGAAUGGAAGGGCCAUCGCUCAACGGAUAAAAGGUACUCCGGGGAUAACAGGCUGAUACCGCCCAAGAGUUCAUAUCGACGGCGGUGUUUGGCACCUCGAUGUCGGCUCAUCACAUCCUGGGGCUGAAGUAGGUCCCAAGGGUAUGGCUGUUCGCCAUUUAAAGUGGUACGCGAGCUGGGUUUAGAACGUCGUGAGACAGUUCGGUCCCUAUCUGCCGUGGGCGCUGGAGAACUGAGGGGGGCUGCUCCUAGUACGAGAGGACCGGAGUGGACGCAUCACUGGUGUUCGGGUUGUCAUGCCAAUGGCACUGCCCGGUAGCUAAAUGCGGAAGAGAUAAGUGCUGAAAGCAUCUAAGCACGAAACUUGCCCCGAGAUGAGUUCUCCCUGACUCCUUGAGAGUCCUGAAGGAACGUUGAAGACGACGACGUUGAUAGGCCGGGUGUGUAAGCGCAGCGAUGCGUUGAGCUAACCGGUACUAAUGAACCGUGAGGCUUAACCUUAC